Molecule: ribosomal RNA, 253 nt
Filed under: uncultured bacterium
Lineage: Bacteria
Description: partial 16S ribosomal RNA
Rfam family: Bacterial small subunit ribosomal RNA
Source: RNAcentral
UACGGAGGGUGCAAGCGUUAAUCGGAAUUACUGGGCGUAAAGGGUGCGUAGGCGGUUAUGUAAGUCAGAGGUGAAAUUCCCGAGCUCAACUUGGGCGCUGCCUUUGAUACUGCAUGACUAGAGAUUGGAAGAGGUAGGUAGAAUUCCUAGUGUAGAGGUGAAAUUCGUAGAUAUUAGGAGGAAUACCAGUGGCGAAGGCGGCCUACUGGUCCACAUCUGACGCUGAGGCACGAAAGCGUGGGGAUCAAACAGG